RNAcentral lists this ribosomal RNA (520 nucleotides) under uncultured Glomus. RNAcentral's name for it is "SSU rRNA". It matches the Rfam family "Eukaryotic small subunit ribosomal RNA", at positions 569 to 1091 of the family's 1831-position model. Lineage: Eukaryota; Fungi; Glomeromycota; Glomeromycetes; Glomerales; Glomeraceae. The record is from RNAcentral.
AGCAGCCGCGGUAAUUCCAGCUCCAAUAGCGUAUAUUAAAGUUGUUGCAGUUAAAAAAGCUCGUAGUUGAAUUUCGAGAUCAAAUUGUUGGUCGUGCCUCGGUACGUACUGGCAUUAUUGAUUUCUCCCUUCCGAAGAACCACGAUGUCAUUAAUUUGGUGUCGUGGGGAAUCAGGACUGUUACUUUGAAAAAAUUAGAGUGUUUAAAGCAGGCUCACGCUUGAAUACAUUAGCAUGGAAUAAUGAAAUAGGACGUUUGAUUCUAUUUUGUUGGUUUCUAGGAUCGACGUAAUGAUUAAUAGGGAUAGUUGGGGGCAUUAGUAUUCAAUUGUCAGAGGUGAAAUUCUUGGAUUUAUUGAAGACUAACUACUGCGAAAGCAUUUGCCAAGGAUGUUUUCAUUAAUCAAGAACGAAAGUUAGGGGAUCGAAGACGAUCAGAUACCGUCGUAGUCUUAACCAUAAACUAUGCCGACUAGGGAUCGGAUGAUGUUAAUUUUUAAUGACUCAUUCGGCGCCUUAA